This 497-nucleotide ribosomal RNA is filed under the name uncultured bacterium. RNAcentral's name for it is "partial 16S ribosomal RNA". It matches the Rfam family "Bacterial small subunit ribosomal RNA", at positions 28 to 507 of the family's 1533-position model. The record is from RNAcentral.
GACGAACGCUGGCGGCGUGCCUAAUACAUGCAAGUUGAGCGAUGAAGAUUGGUGCUUGCACCAAUUUGAAGAGCAGCGAACGGGUGAGUAACGCGUGGGGAAUCUGCCUUUGAGCGGGGGACAACAUUUGGAAACGAAUGCUAAUACCGCAUAACAACUUUAAACAUAAGUUUUAAGUUUGAAAGAUGCAAUUGCAUCACUCAAAGAUGAUCCCGCGUUGUAUUAGCUAGUUGGUGAGGUAAAGGCUCACCAAGGCGAUGAUACAUAGCCGACCUGAGAGGGUGAUCGGCCACAUUGGGACUGAGACACGGCCCAAACUCCUACGGGAGGCAGCAGUAGGGAAUCUUCGGCAAUAGACGAAAGUCUGGCCGAGCAACGCCGCGUGAGUGAAGAAGGUUUUCGGAUCGUAAAACUCUGUUGGUAGAGAAGAACGUUGGUGAGAGUGGAAAGCUCAUCAAGUGACGGUAACUACCCAGAAAGGGACGGCUAACUACGUG